UACGGAGGGUGCAAGCGUUAAUCGGAAUUACUGGGCGUAAAGCGCGCGUAGGCGGCUGGAUAAGUCGAUUGUGAAAGCCCCGGGCUCAACCUGGGAAUUGCAGUCGAGACUGUUCGGCUAGAGUGUGGGAGAGGGCAGUGGAAUUCCCGGUGUAGCGGUGAAAUGCGUAGAUAUCGGGAGGAACAUCAGUGGCGAAGGCGACUGCCUGGCCCAACACUGACGCUGAGGUGCGAAAGCGUGGGUAGCAAACAGG
Molecule: ribosomal RNA, 253 nt
Filed under: uncultured bacterium
Lineage: Bacteria
Description: partial 16S ribosomal RNA
Rfam family: Bacterial small subunit ribosomal RNA
Source: RNAcentral